This 460-nucleotide ribosomal RNA is filed under the name uncultured bacterium. RNAcentral describes it as "partial 16S ribosomal RNA". It matches the Rfam family "Bacterial small subunit ribosomal RNA", at positions 338 to 795 of the family's 1533-position model. The record is from RNAcentral.
CCUACGGGGGGCAGCAGUGAGGAAUAUUGGUCAAUGGACGAGAGUCUGAACCAGCCAAGUAGCGUGAAGGAUGACUGCCCUAUGGGUUGUAAACUUCUUUUAUAUGGGAAUAAAAUGUUCCACGUGUGGGAUUUUGUAUGUACCAUAUGAAUAAGGAUCGGCUAACUCCGUGCCAGCAGCCGCGGUAAUACGGAGGAUCCGAGCGUUAUCCGGAUUUAUUGGGUUUAAAGGGAGCGUAGGUGGAUUGUUAAGUCAGUUGUGAAAGUUUGCGGCUCAACCGUAAAAUUGCAGUUGAAACUGGCAGUCUUGAGUACAGUAGAGGUGGGCGGAAUUCGUGGUGUAGCGGUGAAAUGCUUAGAUAACACGAAGAACUCCGAUUGCGAAGGCAGUUCACUGGACUGCAACUGACACUGAGGCUCGAAAGUGUGGGUAUCAAACAGGAUUAGAUACCCUUGUAGUC